RNAcentral lists this ribosomal RNA (330 nucleotides) under uncultured eukaryote. Its description in RNAcentral is "partial 18S ribosomal RNA". It matches the Rfam family "Eukaryotic small subunit ribosomal RNA", at positions 1470 to 1796 of the family's 1831-position model. The record is from RNAcentral.
CCCUUAGAUGUUCUGGGCCGCACGCGCGCUACACUGAUGCAUUCAACGAGUCUAAAACCUGGUCUGAUAGGGCUGGGUAAUCUUUUGAAAGUGCAUCGUGAUUGGGAUAGAUGAUUGCAAUUCUUCAUCUUCAACGAGGAAUGCCUAGUAAACGCAAGUCAUCAGCUUGCAUUGAUUACGUCCCUGCCCUUUGUACACACCGUCCGUCGCUCCUACCGAUUGAAUGAUCCGAUGAAUACCAUGGAUUGAGAGUACGAAUGGGUUCGCUCAUUUCUGCUGCUCGAGAAGUGGAGUAAAUCUUAUCAUUUAGAGGAAGGAGAAGUCGUAACA